AUUGAACGCUGGCGGCAGGCCUAACACAUGCAAGUCGAGCGGAUGAAGGGAGCUUGCUCCUGGAUUCAGCAGCGGACGGGUGAGUAAUGCCUAGGAAUCUGCCUGGUAGUGGGGGAUAACGUCCGGAAACGGGCGCUAAUACCGCAUACGUCCUGAGGGAGAAAGUGGGGGAUCUUCGGACCUCACGCUAUCAGAUGAGCCUAGGUCGGAUUAGCUAGUUGGUGGGGUAAAGGCCUACCAAGGCGACGAUCCGUAACUGGUCUGAGAGGAUGAUCAGUCACACUGGAACUGAGACACGGCCCAGACUCCUACGGGAGGCAGCAGUGGGGAAUAUUGGACAAUGGGCGAAAGCCUGAUCCAGCCAUGCCGCGUGUGUGAAGAAGGUCUUCGGAUUGUAAAGCACUUUAAGUUGGGAGGAAGGGCAGUAAGUUAAUACCUUGCUGUUUUGACGUUACCAACAGAAUAAGCACCGGCUAACUUCGUG
RNAcentral lists this ribosomal RNA (484 nucleotides) under uncultured bacterium. RNAcentral's name for it is "partial 16S ribosomal RNA". It matches the Rfam family "Bacterial small subunit ribosomal RNA", at positions 30 to 507 of the family's 1533-position model. The record is from RNAcentral.